RNAcentral lists this ribosomal RNA (253 nucleotides) under uncultured bacterium. RNAcentral's name for it is "partial 16S ribosomal RNA". It matches the Rfam family "Bacterial small subunit ribosomal RNA", at positions 524 to 776 of the family's 1533-position model. The record is from RNAcentral.
UACGAAGGGAGCUAGCGUUGUUCGGAAUCACUGGGCGUAAAGCGCACGUAGGCGGAUUUGUCAGUCAGGGGUAAAAUCCCGGGGCUCAACCUCGGAACUGCCUUUGAUACAGCAAGUCUUGAGUUCGAGAGAGGUGGGUGGAAUUCCUAGUGUAGAGGUGAAAUUCGUAGAUAUUAGGAAGAACACCGGUGGCGAAGGCGGCCCACUGGCUCGAUACUGACGCUGAGGUGCGAAAGCGUGGGGAGCAAACAGG